GACACGGCACAGCCCGCGGAGGCCCCGGCGCCUCGGCCACCCCGGGGGCGCAGCGCCUGUGUCGCCUGUCCGUGUGGAUCUGGCAGUCGGUCAUCCACCUGCUGCAGAUGGGGCAGGUGUGGAGCUCUAAGCGAAAGACAUGAGGCCUCAGCUGAAAUGAGGUGGUUUGAGGUCAUCCGGUUUCUGGCUAGAAGUGUGCGGUCGCCUCGUCCUGAAACUGCUUCACACAAUGGUUUGCAAUUUUUUUUGGUGAUGGCAUGUUCAGAAUCUUGGAUCCCUAAGUUGAAUGUUGGAAAUAUUUAGGAACCUUGGAAAUUAUGUUUUCAUGUAUUUAAUGUCUUGGUAGGUGAAUCAGUAGAUUUAAUAAAAGUAUAAAAAGACCUGUGUGCUCUCAUGUUGGCAGGCAUGUCUCAGUGUCUAUUGUGUUAGCCUGCACUUUGGUGACGGUCACCUUUUGAAGGUUCGGGUUCUUACUUGCCUUGUAGUCUUAUAGGCUGGUUUGGUUAGCUUCUUCUCUAUCUAACUUGCAAUUUUGGUUACUUAGAUCAGAGAUAAUUACUGAUCAAGAAUAAAGAAGAGAAGAAAGAGCAUCAAGUGACAGUCUUAAAUGCAGUAAUCACAAAAUUUCUACUUGGCAGUUGCCUCACAAAAAUCAGUAUUAGAAUAUGGAAAUUCUCUGCAAAUACACUUGUAACAAUAUGCUGUCAAUUCUCAAAAUUAUACAUCACUAUGGAGGGUGGAGAUGCUAAUAUUGAACUCUCUGCUGCCCGAUAUGAGGCAACCUUGAAUAUAACCUCGCUUUCUUAUCUGUGUGUCUUCCUGCCUCCUACUCCCACCACUGCUGCAGGCUGGAGCAGAACAGCCCCUCCUUAGAAACCUUGAAGGCCCAAAAGCCUCCUGUAGCUUCCACUCUCUUAUUUCCUCCUUGGCCCCAAGCCCACAGACUGGAGUUGCAUGGAGUAAAAGUUCGGCUUCCUCACAAAACUUACAGAAAGCAAGAUCUGCUUUGUUUUUCUGAUUUCCAGAGUGCCUCUUUUCCCAGAGGCUUUGAACCCCACCAUUCCCCGUUGUGUCGUGGUGCCAUGCCUCUCCUAAUAAAGCUUUCAUUCUAAAAGCCGUGUCGUCUCAGCUGCCGCUCAUCAAGCCAGCCAGUUCUCCCCUACUCUCCUUCUCUGUUGGAGAAAAAAUAGAGCUGAUGAGUCGAGUUGUUGAGUUGGUGGAAAGGAAGGUGGCAAAAAAGCAAGCAGUGUGAGGAGGAAACACUAACCACCUGAAAUCAUUAGUUCCAUUUGAAAACUCAGAAGUUUUAAAAACUCAAGAUUGUGGCUAACCUGCAGCCACAAUGUCAGAAAUUAGCUCCAUUCCCUGUACACCUGAUCCCAGCCCUCUCCAUAGACUGGACUGUGGGCAAGGUGCUGUGCUGACCAUGGAUGGACGGAGAGCCCAUGUUGGACAGAGUAGACAGUGUGCCAUCAUUGGUGGCAGCCUGCCAUCCUUGCCUGCUCCUGCCGGGAUUGAGAGACUUGAGGAACAUUCUGGGACGUAGCUACUUCCGAUGAUCAAUGUAACUGCCUCCCUACUCUUAACCCAGUUGAGAAACACUAAUUUUUAAGGCCACAGCUAAGACAACUUGUAAGAGGAUGAAGGGGACUGUAGAGCUUGAAUUAGUAGCUCAGGAGGAUGCUUGGGUGUGAGUUUAUUAUUGUUAUUAUUGGUGGGUUUUUAGUGUUCCUGAAGUUAGUGUACACCUGCAGCAGUUUGCUAGAGUCUGCUAGAAGGCUUUCAGAAGUGGAAGGCUGCCCCAUGGCCCCUGCCUCUCUUUUUUUGCUUUGUUACAGGGGGAAUUGGCUGAUGUGUAUUUAAUAGAAGGCACAUUGGAAAACAUUAGAGGUUGUUGUUACUGUUCUUUUGUUCUUUUCAAGGUAGGGUCUCACUCUAGCCCAGGUUGUCUUUGAACUCACUGUAGUCCGAGGCUGGCCUCAAACCCACAGCGAUCCUUCUACUUCAACCUCCCGAGCUCUGGGA
Molecule: RNA transcript, 2025 nt
Organism: Jaculus jaculus (lesser Egyptian jerboa)
Lineage: Eukaryota; Metazoa; Chordata; Mammalia; Rodentia; Dipodidae
Gene: Xkr6
Gene name: XK related 6
Exons: 3
Source: RefSeq, a predicted model, not a curated record